Molecule: small nuclear RNA, 191 nt
Organism: Camelus dromedarius (Arabian camel)
Lineage: Eukaryota; Metazoa; Chordata; Mammalia; Artiodactyla; Camelidae
Gene: U2
Rfam family: U2 spliceosomal RNA
About the family: U2 is a small nuclear RNA (snRNA) component of the spliceosome (involved in pre-mRNA splicing). Complementary binding between U2 snRNA (in an area lying towards the 5' end but 3' to hairpin I) and the branchpoint sequence (BPS) of the intron results the bulging out of an unpaired adenosine, on the BPS, which initiates a nucleophilic attack at the intronic 5' splice site, thus starting the first of two transesterification reactions that mediate splicing.
Source: Ensembl
AUCACUUCUCAGCCUUUUGGCUAAGAUGAUGUGUACUAUCUAUUCUUAUUAAUUUUGUAUUUGAUAACUCUUCUAACCAAGGACAAUAUCUUAAAUGGGUUUUUGGAGCAGGGAGUUGUAAUAGGAGCUUCCUGCAUCCACUCCACGCAUCGACCUGGUGUUGCAGUACCUCUAGGAAUGCUGCAACCCCU